GAUGAACGCUGGCGGCGUGCCUAAUACAUGCAAGUCGAGCGAACAGACGAGGAGCUUGCUCCUCUGACGUUAGCGGCGGACGGGUGAGUAACACGUGGAUAACCUACCUAUAAGACUGGGAUAACUUCGGGAAACCGGAGCUAAUACCGGAUAAUAUAUUGAACCGCAUGGUUCAAUAGUGAAAGACGGUUUUGCUGUCACUUCUAGAUGGAUCCGAGCCGCAUUAGCUAGUUGGUAAGGUAACGGCUUACCAAGGCAACGAUGCGUAGCCGACCUGAGAGGGUGAUCGGCCACACUGGAACGGAGACACGGUCCAGACUCCUACGGGAGGCAGCAGUAGGGAAUCUUCCGCAAUGGGCGAAAGCCUGACGGAGCAACGCCGCGUGAGUGAUGAAGGUCUUCGGAUCGUAAAACUCUGUUAUUAGGGAAGAACAAAUGUGUAAGUAACUAUGCACGUCUUGACGGUACCUAAUCAGAAAGCCACGGCUAACUACGUG
RNAcentral lists this ribosomal RNA (497 nucleotides) under uncultured bacterium. Its description in RNAcentral is "partial 16S ribosomal RNA". It matches the Rfam family "Bacterial small subunit ribosomal RNA", at positions 28 to 507 of the family's 1533-position model. The record is from RNAcentral.